RNAcentral lists this ribosomal RNA (253 nucleotides) under uncultured bacterium. RNAcentral's name for it is "partial 16S ribosomal RNA". It matches the Rfam family "Bacterial small subunit ribosomal RNA", at positions 524 to 776 of the family's 1533-position model. The record is from RNAcentral.
UACGGAGGGAGCGAGCGUUGUUCGGAAUUACUGGGCGUAAAGCGUGCGCAGGCGGAUUGCCAAGUCAGAAGUGAAAUCCCAGGGCUCAACCUUGGAAUUGCUUUUGAAACUGGUAAUCUAGAGUAUCGGAGAGGUUGGCGGAAUUCCCAGUGUAGAGGUGAAAUUCGUAGAUAUUGGGAGGAACACCAGUGGCGUAAGCGGCCAACUAGACGAUUACUGACGCUCAGGCACGAAAGUGUGGGGAUCAAACAGG